RNAcentral lists this small RNA (28 nucleotides) under Bombyx mori (domestic silkworm). RNAcentral's name for it is "piRNA piR-bmo-1536118". The record is from RNAcentral. Lineage: Eukaryota; Metazoa; Arthropoda; Insecta; Lepidoptera; Bombycidae.
UAAGAGAUUUAAUUGUAAGGUGGCCAGG